RNAcentral lists this long non-coding RNA (1401 nucleotides) under Notechis scutatus (mainland tiger snake). RNAcentral's name for it is "lncRNA (ENSNSUG00000004399.1)". Lineage: Eukaryota; Metazoa; Chordata; Lepidosauria; Squamata; Elapidae. The record is from RNAcentral.
CCAGUCAGCUUCCCGCUUCCAGAGGCCGAUUGUUUCCCCGAUGCGACUGUGUGCAUCCCUGACAGAAUUCCGGAAGGCGCCAUUUCCGAGGCAACAGCGAGGAGAAGGCCAAGUCACAGGCAUGAGGUAGUCCCCCAAACGUUCGUCAGGUACUACAGCGCGCAAUGCUCCAAGAAAUUCCACACCACCAUCGACAUCGACGGGGAUGUGGUGGUGGACAAAAGUUCGUAUAUGACCCUCGUGUCCUGGCCAACUAUUAAGAAGGCCGUUUUCGGCUUCCCAAGGAACAGCUAAAGCCCCAGAAAACAGUGGUAAAGGACCGUCAAGGGAACCUCAUCCCUGUCCUGGGGAGGGGGUCCUUCUAAAUUAAAUUUAAAAGUUUUGUCGGGUGAACGGAGACCUGCCAAACCUUCCCCACUGAGAAUGGUUCGAUGCCCUGGGUCUGGAAGUGACUGCCAUCCUCGCCUACCAAGACGACAGCAUCGAGGAGGAGCCGGUCACGGCAUUCGCGGACGUCUUCGGUGGGAGUCGAGAAAGCGGACCGGAUUGACAUCAUCGUUCCUUGGCUUCACUCUCCAUUAGCAUAUGCAACAGUCUUCCUCCUCGACUUACAACAUUUCGCUUAGAGACCGUUGGAAGUUACAACGGCACGGAGAAAAAAGGGACUUGUGACCAACGUUUCAUACCUAACAACCAUUGCAGCAUCCCCAGCAAGCCAAAUUCACUUAAACCACCGACCCUGGCCACCAGAUUUCUAAUAUUCCCUGAAUUGAAUUGAAAAAAGCCCCCCUAUUGAAUUCUGGGAGUUGAAGCUCAUGCGCCUGGCUAGGAGAUUCUGGGAGUUGAAGUCCACCCAUCUUCACGUGGCCAAGCUUGAAAAAGACAGCAUGUGACAGGGAGGCUGAAGCUUUGUGAGUUUGCUUUGUGGUCCUCCCAGGCAUGAGCUGAACAUCUAAAACCGGGUUUUGCAACCUUGGCAAUUUGAAGAUGGCUCUCUGGGGAAUCCUGGGGGUUGAAGCCCACCUGUGUAACAUUGUCACGGUUGCCAAACACGGGUCUAGAAUCGCCCUGUGUUGCUUCUAAUGCCCCUUCCCUCCUCCCCUAAGGAUCCCCUAAUCCUCUAAGAAUCGGGCGCAUCUGUUUCUCGAAUCCCAGACGGGCUGACUGGCAUCGCUGCCUCCCCACAUGUCUGUUUAUCCGCAAACUGUCCUUCUAGAGGUUGGGGGGAGGAUUGUGUUUUAGGGGAACGGGGUGCUUUUUUUUGAGUUACGGGGGUGCAGCCUCCCUCUGGCCACACGUGGAUAAGGAGGCAUCUGCUGUUUUUCGCCACCCGGGUUCCAGAGGCCCUUUCCCCAUCAUCCCCGUCAUGUCGUGGCUAAUAAAUGUUCAAUAAACAUGUCA